Molecule: ribosomal RNA, 390 nt
Filed under: uncultured archaeon
Lineage: Archaea
Description: bacterial SSU rRNA
Rfam family: Archaeal small subunit ribosomal RNA
Source: RNAcentral
GCUCAGUAACACGUGGACAACCUACCCUAAGGAGGGGCAUAACCCCGGGAAACUGGGGAUAAUUCCGGAUAACGCAUAUUUGCUGGAAUGCUUUAUGCGUCAAAAGGAUUCGUCUGCCCAAGGAUGGGUCUGCGGCCUAUCAGGUAGUAGUGGGUGUAAUGUACCUACUAGCCAGCGACGGGUACGGGUUGUGAGAGCAAGAGCCCGGAGAUGGAUUCUGAGACAUGAAUCCAGGCCCUACGGGGCGCAGCAGGCGCGAAAACUUUACAAUGCGGGAAACCGUGAUAAGGGGACACCGAGUGCCAGCAUCAUAUGCUGGCUGUCCGGAUGUGUAAAAUACAUCCGUUAGCAAGGGCCGGGCAAGACCGGUGCCAGCAGCCGCGGUAAUAC